This 229-nucleotide ribosomal RNA is filed under the name uncultured bacterium. RNAcentral describes it as "partial 16S ribosomal RNA". It matches the Rfam family "Bacterial small subunit ribosomal RNA", at positions 568 to 796 of the family's 1533-position model. The record is from RNAcentral.
UCCGUAGGUGGAUAAUUAAGUCAGGGGUGAAAGUCUGCAGCUCAACUGUAGAAUUGCCCUUGAUACUGGUUGUCUUGAAUUAUUGUGAAGUGGUUAGAAUAUGUAGUGUAGCGGUGAAAUGCAUAGAUAUUACAUAGAAUACCAAUUGCGAAGGCAGAUCACUAACAAUAUAUUGACACUGAUGGACGAAAGCGUGGGGAGCGAACAGGAUUAGAUACCCUGGUAGUCC